UACGUAGGGGGCAAGCGUUGUCCGGAAUUAUUGGGCGUAAAGAGCGCGUAGGCGGUCUUUCAAGUCCGGUGUGAAAACUUGAGGCUCAACCUCAAGCGUGCAUCGGAUACUGAUGGACUAGAAUUCGGUAGAGGGAAUCGGAAUUCCUGGUGUAGCGGUGAAAUGCGCAGAUAUCAGGAAGAACACCGGUGGCGAAGGCGGAUUCCUGGGCCGAUAUUGACGCUGAGGCGCGAAAGCUAGGGGAGCGAACAGG
This 253-nucleotide ribosomal RNA is filed under the name uncultured bacterium. RNAcentral's name for it is "partial 16S ribosomal RNA". It matches the Rfam family "Bacterial small subunit ribosomal RNA", at positions 524 to 776 of the family's 1533-position model. The record is from RNAcentral.